Columba livia (rock pigeon) is the source of this 3034-nucleotide long non-coding RNA. RefSeq lists it as uncharacterized. The transcript is spliced from 2 exons. The record is from RefSeq and is a predicted model, not a curated record. NCBI's taxonomy places the organism in Eukaryota, Metazoa, Chordata, Aves, Columbiformes, Columbidae.
UACAUCCACGGGCAGAAAUGCAGCGGCACUCCAAAGAAUACUGAUACUAGAUGGUUUGUUUUGUUUUUAAUUGUAAACUGUUAUAAACUGAAAAUGGCCCUUUAAGGCACUAUUGCUGAAACAACAUCUCCAGCUGCCGCUAAGCCAGGCUGGCUCCUGGAAUGCUCAAAUCAUUGAACAGUUUGGGUCGGAAGGGACCUUCAAAGCUCAUCCAGUGCCACCCCUGCCAUGAGCAGGGACAUCUUCACCAGAUCAGGUUGCUCAGAGCCCCGUCCAGCCUGGCCUGGGAUGUCUCCAGGGAUGGGGCAUCCACCACCUCUCUGGACAACCUGGGACAGGGUUGCAACACCCUCACUGUAAAAAAAUUCUUCCUCGUGUCCAGCCUGAAUCUCCCCUCUUUUAGUCUAAAACCAUCACCCCUUGUCCUGUCACAACUGUCCUUCCUAAAAAGUCUGUCCCUCUUGUUCAAAAGAGUUUUGUGUCUCCAUGCAAGGAACAAACCGUAUCAACACUGACAGCUGAAGCACUUCCAUGUUAUAAAGAUGCCACCUACGCUUUAGGAAACCUGAGAGGCAGGAGUUGUUGGAAGUUAGAAGAGUACUGUAGGAAUAUACCAUUUUGUGCUUGUAUUUUACUUUCUGUUGUUAGACACUGUUGGGACUAGCAGGGCUUCUUGUGUGAUUCUGAAAGGUGUCUCUAACCUUACGUUCACUGAGUCUCACCAUAGGUACCUCACUGGGGAUAGUGUGUGCACACAAACCAGCCUGUCAAGGCAGGACCUGCCUAAGACUGCCAGUGGGAACCAUGUUUGGGAUGGAUGAAAAAAACACAGACCUUUGGAAUUUCAGCUUUCAUCUUUGUGUGCCUUCAUACCUCUUCUAUAAAAUAAAUCUGUACCUGCUCAUUACUACCAGGACGCUCAGGGAAGUAUGAGGACAGUUACUGUCUCACCACUUUGACCUUUAUCCACUAUUUUUAGCAUAGAAUCAUAUAAUCAUUUGGUUGGAAAAGACCCUCAAGAUCAUGAAGUCCAACCAUUAACCUGACACUGUCACUAAACCAUGUCCCUAAGAAACACAUCUAUGUGUCUUUUAAACACCUCCAGGUGACUCCGCUACUUCCCUGUGCAGCCUGUUCAACCCUUUCCAUGAAGAAUUUUUUCCUAAUAUCCAGUCUAAACCUCCCCUGGCGCAACUUGAGGCCAUUUCCUCUUGUCCUAUCACUUGUUACUUGGGAGAAGAGACCAACCCCCUCCAUGCUACAACCUCCUUUCAGGCAGUUGCAGACAGUGAUAAGGUCUCCCCUCAGCUCCUGUUCUCCAGGCUGAACAGCCCCAGGUCCCUCAGCUGCUCCCGUCACACUUUGCUCCAGACCCCUCACCAUCUUUGUAGCAUGGAUUCUCCUUAGAGAAUGUACAGGUAAGCCUUUCCAGUUUCUUGAUUCUGCAGCUUCUAAUCAAAUGCAUUUCUCAUUGAGGGAUGGGAGGGAGAAGAGUAUUUUAAAUCAAACACGUUUAUUUUUCAGCAGAGCAGGGUAUUAAUGAGAUACAGCCUCUCCUACUGAAGGCACGGGUGUGCUGAGUCUGCAGGUGUUCUGCAGGCUGAACGAAGGAAAGUUCUUCAUGCCUACACAGCAAGUCUGCACCGGUAAAUUCACUUUACAAAGAAGUUUUUCCAUAGCAGUCAGUGUUUUGGGGUUUUGUUUGUUUGUUUGUUUUGUGUUCACUACUUACUUACAGUUGAGGACAUUGAGGCACAGGUUCAAAGACCUGCCCAACAUUAAGGGAGUGUGGAACCCAGCUCUGGAUCCCACCAAAAGACCUCAACCAGCAAACCAUCUUUUCUGCUUGCUGUUCUACUCAGCAAGAUACUCAAGCACAACCCAGAAGUUCCUCCUGGUGUUUAAGGGUCCCGCAACAGUCGGUAACAAGAGACUUGACGUUUCCUCUUGCAGGUCCAAGCCCAGAUCUCUGCACACCCUGGAUCCUAGACAUAAACAGAAGAAAAAACAAAACAAAACAACAACAUCCAGUUGUAGCAAAAAGAGGGGUGAUAGGGAAGCAGAAUUAGACAUAACAUGAGGACCAAAGUAACUUCAAGCAUCGUACCUGUGCAUGGAGUCACUUGUUACAUGCUGUGCCAGUGAUGCCAGCCCAAACCGCCAUGGCGGAAGAUGGCAAUGCUGCACUGUGGGGGAUACACAGGUGUCUGUGCGGGGCUUCUUGGCACAGCCAAAGGGACGUGACAGUUCUAGAAAAAGCCGUGCAGGCUUUAGAAGCUGUUGAUGGCUUCCCCAGCUGAGCUUGAGCCCUGUACCUGACAGCAAAUCGAAGCACCAGCACUGCACCAGGCUUGGUCCAGGUUAGUGCAGGGCUUUAGGCUGAGCUCAAGUGAACAAGGCUGUGCUUCUGUGUGCAUUUACCAGUGUUAUGCCUGUCCAAAUUAUAUUGCAAAUAAAAUCCUACUGGAUGAAACUGUGUUGGGGCAAGUGGAGAAGGAGCGAGAAACAUAACCUACCUGGAAACGGUAAGUCUGCAUUUAGAGUUUACUUAGAAGAAAUAAAGAGAAAAAGAGCGUUACUCAUACACAAAUCACUGAGCACAGGAACAGCAAUAUUGAAAGAGUUUUAGGACAUCAGCGCUCAAACAAAUAAAGCUUGAAACUAGUUGUUUCUACUACAGCCUCCCACAUAAUAAGAGACUACAGUACCACUGGCUCUUUAAUCACUCCCUUGUAAUGAACUGGGCAAACACCCACUUUAUCGUGAGCGUUAGACCGGAUCCAAGUGAUAGACCAGAGACUUGAUGUGGCUGGAAUGAAACACUGACAGAACUUCUACAUCACAUACGUGACAGCAUCUUGACAUAAAGUGUUUUGUCCAGCAUGAGUGAUUUUAUUACGCGGAGAAUUCAUCCAGCUACUAUGGUAAGUUAUACCUUUGGUGCACACCGAUGUGAUUAUAAUUAUAAGCUUGUACAAAAUGAAUAAAGAUCAGCAUGUUUAAUUCUGAAGGUAAUAAAGCUCCUGAAAAUGCA